AGAGCUUAUGUUAGCAGUUGUGUGUGCGAAAAUUGGAAUGGGUCAGAGUUAGCAUGGCCUCUGCACAAGGAUAACAUGAAAGUUCAUGAAGUGUUUCAUAGUUUU
Molecule: small nuclear RNA, 105 nt
Organism: Phodopus roborovskii (desert hamster)
Lineage: Eukaryota; Metazoa; Chordata; Mammalia; Rodentia; Cricetidae
Source: RefSeq, a predicted model, not a curated record